UACGUAGGGGGCAAGCGUUGUCCAGAUUUAUUGGGCGUAAAGAGCGUGUAGGCGGUUAGGUAGGUCCGUUGUGAAAACUCGAGGCUCAACCUCGAGACGCCGAUGGAAACCAUCUAACUAGAGUCCGGAAGAGGAGAGUGGAAUUCCUGGUGUAGCGGUGAAAUGCGCAGAUAUCAGGAAGAACACCCGUGGCUAAGGCGGCUCUCUAGUACGGUACUGACGCUGAGACGCGAAAGCGUGGGGAGCGAACAGG
This 253-nucleotide ribosomal RNA is filed under the name uncultured bacterium. RNAcentral describes it as "partial 16S ribosomal RNA". It matches the Rfam family "Bacterial small subunit ribosomal RNA", at positions 524 to 776 of the family's 1533-position model. The record is from RNAcentral.